Molecule: ribosomal RNA, 219 nt
Filed under: Escherichia coli
Lineage: Bacteria; Pseudomonadati; Pseudomonadota; Gammaproteobacteria; Enterobacterales; Enterobacteriaceae
Description: partial 16S ribosomal RNA
Rfam family: Bacterial small subunit ribosomal RNA
Source: RNAcentral
UUAAAUUGAAGAGUUUGAUCAUGGCUCAGAUUGAACGCUGGCGGCAGGCCUAACACAUGCAAGUCGAACGGUAACAGGAAGCAGCUUGCUGUUUCGCUGACGAGUGGCGGACGGGUGAGUAAUGUCUGGGAAACUGCCUGAUGGAGGGGGAUAACUACUGGAAACGGUAGCUAAUACCGCAUAACGUCGCAAGACCAAAGAGGGGGACCUUCGGGCCUC